This 484-nucleotide ribosomal RNA is filed under the name uncultured bacterium. Its description in RNAcentral is "partial 16S ribosomal RNA". It matches the Rfam family "Bacterial small subunit ribosomal RNA", at positions 30 to 507 of the family's 1533-position model. The record is from RNAcentral.
AUUGAACGCUGGCGGCAGGCCUAACGCAUGCAAGUCGAGCGGAUGAAGGGAGCUUGCUCCUGGAUUCAGCGGCGGACGGGUGAGUAAUGCCUAGGAAUCUGCCUGGUAGUGGGGGAUAACGUCCGGAAACGGGCGCUAAUACCGCAUACGUCCUGAGGGAGAAAGUGGGGGAUCUUCGGACCUCACGCUAUCGGAUGAGCCUAGGUCGGAUUAGCUAGUUGGUGGGGUAAAGGCCUACCAAGGCGACGAUCCGUAACUGGUCUGAGAGGAUGAUCAGUCACACUGGAACUGAGACACGGUCCAGACUCCUACGGGAGGCAGCAGUGGGGAAUAUUGGACAAUGGGCGAAAGCCUGAUCCAGCCAUGCCGCGUGUGUGAAGAAGGUCUUCGGAUUGUAAAGCACUUUAAGUUGGGAGGAAGGGCAGUAAGUUAAUACCUUGCUGUUUUGACGUUACCAACAGAAUAAGCACCGGCUAACUUCGUG